CAGGCUCCCCGUGGACCUGCUGCUGCUGCUACUACUACGGACAUUUUGGCGGGAAGAGAAAAUUAUUUAAAAACGAAAUAAAUAAAAGAACGUCUUCCCUGUGACAGGCCCUUCGGACAAACGUCUUUUUGACUUUGUGUGUGCUCGGGGGCGGGGUUGCCGCUCAGAACCGGCUCUUUCCUCUGGGAUAAAAGGCUUUUGCUCUGUCAGAUCUGAGCCAACAAAUGAGGGGGAGUUUCCAUCUGGCCUUUGUGGGCAGAGACUAGAGCGAUGUUUGCACUUGGGUGAGCGCGGCUGGCCCCGGGCCAUUGUUAGGAGUCUUCAGUGCAGGGUGUCAGCCAGGAUGGAUCUGCGCUGCAUCCCUCUGUCCAGGGCCCGCCCCAGGAGCGCCCAGGGUGUGUGCAUCUGCAGACAGACAGGACACCGGGACCCCCAGAGAGAGUCUCCCAAGGUACCUCUUGGCCCAGUGUUCCUGGCCAGAGAAAGACUUGGCAACUGGAGGACGUGGGCCAACCCCUGACCAGAUGGGGACAGGAAGGCUGAAUAACUUGCCUGAAGUCGUGGUGGGUUGGUGGCAGUUCCAGGCUAGAAAGCAGAUCUGAGAAAAUAACCCAACCCUUCACCACCCUGAAACGCCUUUUCUGCUGCCUGCGGUGUGGAGGAUGUAGUCCAGGGCAUACAGAGGGAAGGCCAUGUGAACCCACAGUGAGAAGGUGGUCAUCUGCAAGCCAGAAAGAGAGCCGUCGCCAGUCACUGAAUCUGCUGGCACCUUGAUCUUGGACUUCCCAGCCUCCAGAACUGUGAGAAAUUGUUGUUUUAGCCACCCAGUCUAUGGUAUUUUCUUACAGCAGCCUGUGCUAACUAAGACACUGGUGUUUUGUGUUUCAUAGUGCUCGAGAGCCUCGCCUCUCUUUUCCCCUGUGGCUGUGCCUGGGAAUUAGUCAGGCAUUUCUACCUGGCGGGGUCCUGUGAUAGAAACCAGUCCAUCCUGCCCCCACCCCUCACCAUGUAUAAGAUGUCUAUUGGAUAAUAGCUUCUUUUGUUUGCCUAAGAGCGGAAUUUCUCACAAGAAAGAGAGAAGCAGCCAGGGAUAUUCCACAAGGGUACAAAUUAGGGCCAACUGAGAGCUUUUGGGAGCAAAGAACUGCCAGUUA
RNAcentral lists this long non-coding RNA (1154 nucleotides) under Homo sapiens (human). Its description in RNAcentral is "HSALNT0138135". Lineage: Eukaryota; Metazoa; Chordata; Mammalia; Primates; Hominidae. The record is from RNAcentral.